RNAcentral lists this ribosomal RNA (484 nucleotides) under uncultured bacterium. Its description in RNAcentral is "partial 16S ribosomal RNA". It matches the Rfam family "Bacterial small subunit ribosomal RNA", at positions 30 to 507 of the family's 1533-position model. The record is from RNAcentral.
AUUGAACGCUGGCGGCAGGCCUAACACAUGCAAGUCGAGCGGAUGAAGGGAGCUUGCUCCUGGAUUCAGCGGCGGACGGGUGAGUAAUGCCUAGGAAUCUGCCUGGUAGUGGGGGAUAACGUCCGGAAACGGGCGCUAAUACCGCAUACGUCCCGAGGGAGAAAGUGGGGGAUCUUCGGACCUCACGCUAUCAGAUGAGCCUAGGUCGGAUUAGCUAGUUGGUGGGGUAAAGGCCUACCAAGGCGACGAUCCGUAACUGGUCUGAGAGGAUGAUCAGUCACACUGGAACUGAGACACGGUCCAGACUCCUACGGGAGGCAGCAGUGGGGAAUAUUGGACAAUGGGCGAAAGCCUGAUCCAGCCAUGCCGCGUGUGUGAAGAAGGUCUUCGGAUUGUAAAGCACUUUGAGUUGGGAGGAAGGGCAGUAAGUUAAUACCUUGCUGUUUUGACGUUACCAACAGAAUAAGCACCGGCUAACUUCGUG